CAGUCACACCCUCCUCCACUCCCUUUGCCUGCAACAACUCUUUCUUUCUUCUCACUACGAAACACACUCAAAUCCACCGCAAGAUCACCCCCUCUCUUUCCAGCACUACUUCAAUUUCUCCCUCUCUCUCCAUCUGCGGGUCAUUCAUCAAAGUUUCAGCCGGCAACGCCCGCAUUCAUCAAUUAGAGAUCCACUCAAAUGUCAUUGACAAGGAGAAGUUGAUGAUUGUGAAAAGAGACUGCAACACGCUAGUUGUAAAUAACAAUUGUAACAAGUGAAACUGUGUUACAUUCUUAAAUAUUCCUGACCUGUUUUGUUUUGUUUUUAAAUCUGUGCUAAGGUUACAAAAAUCUCCAACAUAAGAUCCGAAGAAGAAUGAAUUUCAAAUGAAUACUGACCACCUGCCAUGUCAUCUACAUCCCUUUCUCUCUCUCCUACAUGGCAAAAAAGCGCAGGAGGGAUUGAAAUUGAAUCCUGAAUGAACUUUUCUUCAGGUUUCUUUGAUUCGAGGAAGGAGAUGAAUACCGAUUACUAAUCAAUAAAAAUAACAUGAACACCCCUUGAAACCCCUAUGCUAGAAACCGGGAUCCCAAGUCCCUUCCACAAGGAGAACGAUCCCAUUAGAUCACGAGCCUAUUGGAGCAGUUCAUGGAAGUUUAAACGUAUCAAAAUCUUUUGGUAGCUCAAAGGCUAAAUAUCAUCUGCAUCUGGCCUGCAAUACUUCAAAUUUUUAGGUGUAAACUCUUACCUCCUUUAUUAUUCAUGUAAACGGUGAAGAAGGUGAUGUUUUUUUUA
Long non-coding RNA from Populus nigra (black poplar), 795 nucleotides. RefSeq lists it as uncharacterized. The transcript is spliced from 2 exons. Lineage: Eukaryota; Viridiplantae; Streptophyta; Magnoliopsida; Malpighiales; Salicaceae. The record is from RefSeq and is a predicted model, not a curated record.